RNAcentral lists this ribosomal RNA (387 nucleotides) under Triticum aestivum (bread wheat). Its description in RNAcentral is "partial small subunit ribosomal RNA". The record is from RNAcentral. Lineage: Eukaryota; Viridiplantae; Streptophyta; Magnoliopsida; Poales; Poaceae.
AUGGAACAAUCGAAGAAAGAGUUCUUGCCUGUGUUACAAGGUGUGAAAUUGAGUAAGACUCAAAACCCGACCACGGCACAAGAUAGAAAGAGAAUGAAAUUCAUUCCCUAUGCCUCAGCCAUAGGUUCUAUAAAGUAUGCCAUGCUGUGUACCAGAUCUAUUGUAUACCCUACACUGCUUUUAGCAAGGGAAUACAAUAGUGAUCUAGGAGUAGAUCACUGGACAACGGUCAAAAUUAUCCUUAGGGGAAUAAGGAUAUGUUUCUCGAUUAUGGAGGUGACAAAAAGGUUCGUCGUAAAGGGUUACGUCGAUGCAAGUUUUGACAUUAAUCUAGAUAACUCUAAGUCUCGGUCUAGAUACAUAUUGAAAGUGGGAGCAAUUAGCUAG